GACGAACGCUGGCGGCGUGCUUAACACAUGCAAGUCGAACGGGCCUGUCUUCUUUUUUGGGGGGUGGGUUGAGUGGCGAACGGGUGAGUAUCACGUGAGUAACCUGCCCUUCGGUCCUGGAUAACCGCUUGAAAGGGCGGCUAAUACGGGGUGGUCCGGUUGGUCCGCAUGGGCUGGUCGGGAUAGAUUCACUGUUUUUGGUGUUUCGGCGGGGGAUGGGCUCGCGGCCUACCAGCUUGUUGGUGGGGUGAUGGCCUACCAAGGCGGUGACGGGUAGCCGGCCUGAGAGGGUGGGCGGCCACACUGGGACUGAGAUACGGCCCAGACUCCUGCGGGAGGCAGCAGUGGGGGGUAUUGCACAAUGGGCGGAAGCCUGAUGCAGCGACGUCGCGUGAGGGAUGGAGGCCUUCGGGUUGUGAACCUCUGUUUCCGGUGGUGAAGGCCCUGUCCGUGUGGUGGGGUUGACGGUAGCCGGGGAUGAAGCGCCGGCUAACUACGUG
This 500-nucleotide ribosomal RNA is filed under the name uncultured bacterium. RNAcentral describes it as "partial 16S ribosomal RNA". It matches the Rfam family "Bacterial small subunit ribosomal RNA", at positions 28 to 507 of the family's 1533-position model. The record is from RNAcentral.